This 13064-nucleotide long non-coding RNA is filed under the name Capsicum annuum. Its description in RNAcentral is "long non-coding RNA (CANN_LNC003543)". The record is from RNAcentral. Lineage: Eukaryota; Viridiplantae; Streptophyta; Magnoliopsida; Solanales; Solanaceae.
GUGCUUCAAAAGUGCAACAUAGUGGCUAGGAAGCCAUCGAGCGGACAACAAAACAUGGUAACAGCGCAAGGCAAGACGGAUAAGAACCAAAACACCGGAACUUCAAUACAAAGUUGUAAAAUAACCCCAAGCUCAGACUUAAAACCUGUUAUCAAAAGUUUUAAGACAUUCUUGGGACGUCCAUGGAAGAAAUUCUCAACAACGGUUUACAUGGAGUCUUACAUUGAUAACCAUAUAGAUCCAGCAGGGUGGGCCCCUUGGGAUGGUUCAUUGUACUUGGAUACAUUGUACUAUGGUGAGUACAAGAACAAUGGGCCAGGUUCUGAUACUAGCAAAAGGGUAAACUGGAAGGGUUAUCAUGUUAUUACUAAAGCUUCUGAGGCCAUAAAAUUUACUGUGUCUCGACUGCUUGGAGGAGGGUCCUGGAUUAAAGAUGCUGGAGUGUCCUUCAUAUCUGGGCUUUCAACCUAGUGUAUAUUAUUGGUAUCUUAAUUUCACCGAGCACGAAUCUGUUUGAAUUAGCUGAUAAAAAGUAGGUGAAAUAAUAUCUACUGAAAAACACUUUUAGGUGAUGAAACUAAUUUUAUAAAUAAAUACGUGCUUGGAUGAAAGUGCUGAAUUCAUAAUAAUCUUAUAGUAGUAUGUUUUCUUUUUAUAAACAUCAUAAAUAACUACUUAGGACUUAUAAAAAAACACUUAAAAGAUACAAAUCUACCCCAACCCCAACCCCCACAAAAGAAAAAAGGGCAAACCACAAAAAUCCGCCAAAGAAACUAAUUACAGAGAAUCUCCACUAGUUUUUUCUCUCCCUAAUUUUAGCAAAAUAAAUUAGGCAAGUUAUUAUACAUGUGGCAAAUGUACGAGGAAACAGAGAUUCCUUACUUUAAGGAAUGUGAAAUGAUUAUUUUGGUUGCUUUUCUUAAACUACCGAACCUAAUUAGCUAGCUUUAGUUUUUUUUGUGCUGGAUAAACGUAUUAACUUUUAUUUGAAUUUCAAAGCCAAUGUUAAUUGCCAUAAUUUUAUUUUAUUUUUGGUUUUGCAAUCUAUCAUUCAAGAUCAACAAAGGAAAAAACAACAAAUUUGUUACCUAAGUUUUUUAGUGCUAUAAUUUUUUAUUUUAUUUUAUUUUAUUUGUUGUAUCUAAGUUCUUCAGUGCUACAAAAAAAAUUAAAGUUAAUUAUAUGGUUGAAGGAAAUUCUUCUCCAAUCGCCAUGGAUUGAGAUUCUAGAUCCGAAAAGGAAAAAAAUUUAAUUUUCUUAUACCCAUUUUUCCAUUUAAUUUGUCUCUCUUUCCCAUUCAAUUUAUCUCAUAUGGAGAACAUGAAGAACAUUUUUGAAUACAUUUUUCCACGCUCAAAUUUAAGCAAUCAUAUACUUACAGGCCUCUUUUUCGAAACUCGAUCAACUUGUCACUCAUCCUGACCAAAGAUUGUCUAAAAUAAAAGACUAUCUCUUCUACCGAUCGAGUCGAACUACAAGCAGUCUGAUUCUCUGAAAUCUUGGGGAUAUGUAGGCUGGGAUCUAUGUAGAAAACUGUACUGCAUUCCAACCUCCCCCAAUUCCUUUAUUACCUAGUUUCUCGGUUUUAUCAAAAACUCUAAAACCGAGAUAGCUCGUGAAUUUUUUAAAAAUCGUGCUUUAAAUCAACUCUACGAACUACAAGUGGCCUGAAUUCCCAUGUAACUUGAGAUAUGUAGGAAACCUAAUACCGAGGUUCGGCCAUGACUCUAUGAAACUCGCACGAAAAUCAGCCUCUUUCAGAUUUGAAUCUAUGGUCGGACAAAAAUUAGGAACGUCAACCUCCCUUUCCCUAGGGUUACUUACAUCCACCCUACCCAAAGGGAUGGGGCAGUUGUUGACACCUAAUUUUUGCCUUCCAUGACUAAAUUUAAUCCUGAGUUUCUUCAAUUUUUAAUAAAACCAAAAUAAUUAUUUCAUCCAAAUGAAAAAAAUUAAAAUAUUUUUCGCACGUGAUUUUGUCAUUUUAAGUAACGAUUAUAUACUAUCGUGUUCAAUUAUACGAGAUUAUAUAAUUUGUUACUUAAAUAUUUAUUUUACAAAAUAUCGAAUUUAAUUAAAGCUCAUCUUAAAAAUAUAAAUUCAAAUGAUUAAAAUCUUGAUUUAAAUAUAAGUUAUUCUCAAAAAUAAUUUAUUUGGAUAAAUAUGCAUUUGAUUUAUUAAAUCAAGAAGCUCGGGAUUAAAAAAAAAAGCAUUAAUUCGUAUCGAAUUUUAAUUUUAUUUAGCCAAUCUUUUAGAUUACCAUAAUUGAAAAUUGGUCAUAAUUGCAAUGCAAUUCGUCAAUUGAUUUUUAAUUUGGUCAAAAUAAAUAAAUAUGGCUAAAUUUUAAAUUCCAAUUGGGGUUAUAUUUUAAAUAAUUCCAAAAUUCUCAAGAACUCUCAUAAUUUCUAUCCAAUUCCCACCAAAAAAUAAAUUCAAAUUAUACUACAUUAUACUAUUCCCCCCAACUUUAUCUUUUUUCAAUUUUGAAAUUCAAAGAUUGUACUACAUUGUAUUAUUUCUCCCUACAUUAUCUUCCAUCCACCUUAUCUUUAAUUUUUACAUUCCAAAAAUCCCCCUAAAUGUUUUUUCUCUCACAUUGGUGGAUGACAAGAAAUAAAUCUCCAUCCUUUCCUAUAAAUACUUUUCUUCCACAUUGGUGGAAGAGAGGAAAAAAAAUUCUUUUUUUCCCUAUAAAUACUACCACUAUUUUGGUAGAAAAAAAGGGGAAAAGGAAGAAAAAGAAGAGGCUAGAAAGGUGAAAAAAUCCUUUUGAGCAAAAUAAUUACUUUUAUUUAGUAAAAAUUUUUGUUUCAUAGAGUAGGUCGGCUAAUCAAAAUUUUUGAGUUGUCGGCAACGUUUUUCGGUGAUAGUUAAUUCCGACGAAACUCGUAGUCUCAUUUUGCUGCCCCCAAAAGGUAAACACACCUUUUCUUUUCUUUUUUUUUUUUUUUAGUUUUUAUUAUCGUUUUUCUCUUCAUUUUUUUUUCUUCUUCGUAGUUCGUAGAUAUAAUUUUGUUUGUUGGCAUUAUAUGUUGUAGAUGGCCUUGAAGGCCCUAAAACGUUGUGGUAUCGAUAUUCUAAUUAUUUUCAUGUUCAUGAUAUAAAAUGAGCUAGCAAUAGUUGUAUGUGCCUUCUUUGACUUUAUUCUUUGAUUAUUUUCGAUAAAGUUUCAAUCUUUGCUUAAAAGAUGUAUUUAUAUUUUGUUUAAACUCAUUGUUGUUGGAUAUAUUUGUUUUUAGUAUGUAGAGUUAUUUUUUUUAUGUUGAAAAGAAUAGUUAAUAUUGAUUCUUUUGCCUUUUGAUCUUAUUCUUUAAUUAUUUUGAAUAAAGUUUAGAUCUUUACUUGAAAAGACAGACUCAUGUCUUGUUUAAACUCAUUAUUGGUAGAUAUAUUUAUAUUUAACAUGUGAAGUUAUUUUCUUUAUAUUGAAAAGAAUGGUUAAUAUUGAUUGUUUUGCCUUUUGGCUUAUUCUUUGAUUGUCAUAUAUAAAGUUUUGAUCUUUGCUCAAAGGCGAACUCAUGCCUUGUUUAAAUUUAUUGUUGGUCAAUAUAUUUGUUUUAGCAUGUAAAGUUUUUUUUUUUAUGCUGAAAAAAUAGUUACUAUUGUUUAUUUUUCCUUAAUAAAAAUAGUAAUUGAGUAAAUCAAGAAUUUUUAAUUUGCUUGUUAAUUAUUUUAAUGGAUUUCAAAUCUUCAUAUAGGAGAUGAAGUGAUAGCUUUAUUUUCUAUCCACGAUGUUUUUUUUUUAAUUUUUUCUCAUGUUUUUUUUUAAAAUUUGUCAAAAUGAUGAGAAAGUUCGAAUUUUUGUGGCUAAAUAGAAUUAUUUAGAUAUUUCCGAGUCAUGCAUAGUAUGAUUGUGAAACGAUAUUUCACUUUUGAAAAUGCUAAACUUUUAUUCUAAUUUUAUUACUCCUUUUGGUUUGUUAUAUGUGCUCUUUGUGAGUGUACAGAUUUGAUUCAUGUCUCUCUUUUAUUCAUAAUCUCAAAAGAGAAUCAACGAUUUCUUAGAAAUAAAAAUCAUAGGUCGUUACACGUUUUUUCAAUAAGAUAUUGGUUGUAAUUUAUAUGUAUGAGUUUUUGUUAAUGUUGUCUUGAUUGAAAUUUAAAGAUUCUCUCUUUUUGAAAAGUUAGUCUUUAUUUUCUUUUGUUAUGUGGAUUGGUGUCUAUGUUUGUUCAAUUCUAGAAAUCAUGAGUAUUUUUCUUGUUGCCUCAUCCCUUUACUUUCGUAAGCUUACGUUGUUUGUUUCUUGCAUUAAUUCAUUGAAUAUGACCUUCUUCCCUUUACCUUUAUUUAUUCUUAAUAUGAACAUAAAUCAUGAGGCAUGUAAGUGAUUGUCUUUGUUUUGCAUUUUUUGUUGUAUGCUCUCAUUCUUGUGCAAGUGUGCUUAUUCUUGUCAUUUAAAAAUUGGUUCUUAUACGUGGGUUUGAUGCCGCAAGUCAACGUGCACGAUAUGCUUCACUACUGUGGCAUUAAGAAGUCGAAAAGGCAAAACAUUGGUACACAAGUGAUAAUGGCAAUCCGCCUCAGGCUAGUAAUACUGUUCUGAUGUAAUUGAUACAAGUGAAAUUGUUACUUUAGAGUAGCAUUAUUUUUAAAAUAGUCGGCAUUGAAAAAACUUAUUCUUUAUUUUUUGUUUCAUGUUAAACAAUUCCAACUUUACUUUCUUGAUGUUAAUGCACAUUUUAGGGAUGACUUCUUAUUUUUAAAAAAAUUAUUUCCAGGUACUAACACACUACUGUAAUGCUACCAACUAGUUCUGGAAAAAUUACAAAACUAGUUCACACCAUUUAAUUUUUUAAAGUACGAAAUAUUUCAUACAUUGAAACAAAUGUAUAAUCUCAUAUCACCAUAACACUGUUCUAUGAGAGUUUCCGUUGUUUCUUAUUAAAGAUUGCAAAAAUUAGGGUAUCAAAAUAUUGAAAUAUUUUUGAGUUGGUUAUGGAAAUUUUCAAUAUUACAUUUUCUCCCUUUUUGUAUAAUAUGUUAGCAUACAUUAAAGCCUAUGUAUAAUGAAACUUUGUCAUUCCAAUAAACUUGCUAAUGUAUAAUAUGUUGUUAUACAUUGAAAUAAUUGUAUAAUGAAACUGUGCCGUUCCAGUAAACAUUCAAAUGUAUAAUGUUGGUUCACAUGUAUGACAACAUAAUUAUACGUUGAUUCACAUGUGUGAUAAAUUCUUUUACAUGUAUGAUAUCAUAUGCUAGGUUCACGAGCCUUGGAUUCUAUUUUUCAAUUUCAACAAGAUGUGAUUUUCUUUCACCUUUUUGAAAAGGUUGUUGCCUCUUUUGAAAGUCUUUGUCCACCUUUUAGGUAACGAGACUUUUCAAAUCCUUAUUUUCUUCUUUCUUUCUUUUAUAAGUCUUGGAAUAUAUUUUAAGACAAACAAAGACCACACUUUUGAUACGUUGAUUCAGAUAUAUGACAGUAGGUUCAGAUGUAUGAUAUGUUGGUUCAGAUGUAUAACGGUAGGUUCAGAUGUAUGAUAGCACAUGUCAAAAUUAAUAAAAGUUGUUAUACAUGAUUGUGGGUAACUUAUUCAUUUACGAACAAACUGCAUUAACGUAUAAUAAAAUCAAUCCUAAUCGCUGUAGAAUUGCACAUGUAUGAGGGUAACUUAUACAUCUAACAAAAAGUACAUCUCAACGUGUUAGCACACAUUAAAGCCUAUGUAUAAUGAAACUUUGCCAAUCCAGUAAAACUUGCGACUGUAUAAUAUGUUGUUAUAAAUUCAAAUUGUUGUAUAAUGAAACUGUGCCGUUCCAGUAAACAUUCGAAUGUAUAAUAUUGGUUCACAUGUAUGAUAAAUUGGUCCACAUGUAUGAUAUCAUAAUUAUAUAAUAAUUCACAUGUAUGAUAAUUUUUUUUACAUGUAUGAAAUAAUAUUCUAGGUUCACAAGCCUUGGAUCCUAUUUUUCAAUUUCAACAAGAUGUGAUCUUUUUGGAAAAGCUGUUUUAAGACAAACAAAGACAACACUUAUUUCUUCUUAUUUUUGUAUCAAAUCACCACUAUUUGAAUGGUCUUCUUCAACAACAUCUAAAAAGCAUGAAGAACACAAACAACAUUAAAAAAAAAAUGAUAAAUUGGUUCACAUGUAUGAUAUGAGUUUUUAAUUUUUUUUUUGUAACAAAAAAAUCAAAUAUCUAACUUGUACUAUACGAAAAAAAAUAAAAUGAACUACUAAACUUGAACAUGAUUGAAGAAUAAUGAAAUUUGAACAUGCAAAUGAAGAAUAAACGAAAACCCCCUUAAUUGGUAAAGUUGAACUUGACAGAAAAAUUAAAAAAAUUAAUGAACUAGAAUAUUAAACACAAUUAAAUCUUUAUAUCUUACUAUAUGAAAAUCAAAGAUCUAACUUGUACUAUAUGAAAAAAAAAAAUCUAAAAAAACAAACUACUGAAUUUGAAUAGAAUUGAAGAAUAAUGAAUUUAAACAUGUAAAUGAAGAAAAAACGAAAACUCCUAAAUUGGACAACACAGAAAAAAAUUAAAAAAAUAAAAUAACUAAAAUAUUAAAAACAAUUAAAUCUUGAUAACUUACAAUUUGAUAAUCACUAAGUACUUUAAAACAUGGAGUCAAAGUCGGAUGAGUAAUGAGAGAAUUAGCCAAAAGAAAAUCCAAAGCAGUGUUUCAAGCUUUCAAAAAUGGAGUCAGAUUCAGGAUGAGUAAUGAAAGCAUUAUCCAAAAGAAAAGCUAAAACAGUGUUUCAAUUAUAGAAUAUAAUCAUUACUUGCUUUUUCUUUUUCUUAAAUUAUGACAAUAAUUUAACUUCAUCUUUCUUUUACUUUUUGGUCGGAUGAAACAUUGGGAUUUCACACGUAUGAGAAAUUAUUAACUAAAGAGAUUUUUGUAAUUAUUUUGGUAUUUUUAUAAAUAUUUUACCCAUUUGAGAUUUAAUGUAAUUACUUUACUUUAACUUAUAUAUAUAUAUAUAUGAUUUUCAGAAAAAAAAAAAAGAACUUGAAAGUUAGUUUCAACUUUCAAAUAAGGCUUGGGCCAGCUUAUUAGGUACUAUGGGCUGGGCUCAAUUUGGAUCAAGACCUUCAAUUUGCAAAUGUGUGAUUUCUUAAUGAGUUAUUUCUCCGUCCAUUACAGAGCUGCUUAAUAAACACACAACUGUGAGUAAGAACUAGGGGAUGAUAAUACGUAACCUAAUAUUUUCAUGCUUAAAUUUGAAGUUUUGGACCUCCCUAGGUUAAUAUAAGAUGUGAAAUCAAGCAAAAGUUACAUGUAAACUAGUCAUUGUUUGCACUGUAUCAAAUGACCCCUUAGAAUUUUUAUCGUGUCUUUGAGUGUUGAUUCUGUGGAUUACGCUAAUAUUCAUAUGUUUUAAUACAUAGGAGCGUCUUGAGAGAUUUGGAGCUUAAACAAUAGAAAAUGAAUCAAAAUCGGCCAUAUAAAGAUCGACAUUGCAAAGCAUCACAGAAGUAGCGAAAAAGGCCAAAUUUUAUGCCCCUAGCUUUCGCCACAAGAUUGCUUUGCAAGAGUGGCCAAGGGUUUCAGCACUUACUUUUCUCCAGUGGAGGAAGCAGUGAUGCGAGUUUUGACUGCUCUCUCUCUUUUCCUUGCGCCAUAGGUUUGCUUUGUAAGCAUAUGACGUGAGCUUGAGUCUUCCUAUUUCCUAAACUCUAGUCCUUUAUACAUUUUUGUGCAUAAGAAUUCGGAUUUUGUGAAGCUGGGAAAAAUGAAUGUUUGUGAAGAAAGAGCUAGGGANNNNNNNNNNNNNNNNNNNNNNNNAGGGAAAGAUUCAAGAAUGAAGGUUUAGUUUUUUCUUUGAUUUUUUUUCAUUAUUGAAGUUUAAAUUCAUGAAUUCUCUCUCUUAGAGAAUUAUGAGUAGCUAAAAACUUAAAUUUUAGGGUUUGGCGAAUACAUGCAUGAUAACUGACAUUUGAUUAUUGAUUAUAUUUAUUCAAGUUUUUCAAUUGUCAGUUAUUUAUUUUUACUUGAUUUUAGUUAUCUAAUGAAUUAAAUUUAAAUAGUUAAACACUAUUUGUGACUCAUAAAUUGAACUUGAAAAGGAAAUUUGAUGAGCACAAUACUAAGGAAUAAGACUUGUUUGUGAACAUUUCAUCUUAAGCAGAAAGAUUAGCUAAUGGGAUAGAAUUCGAUCGACCAUAGAAAUAUAGGUGUUAUAAUUAAACAUUAGUCGAAUAGUCUUAGAAUUGUUGGAUAAAAAUUCAACAAGCGAUAUUAACCUUUAACUAUUAGCUCAGAAAAAUAAAUAAAUAUAUGACGAUAUAAAAAUUAAACCAGAUUGUUAAAAUCAAAGUCCUGGACAUACAUUUUUUCAAUUUGAUAACAACCAACGGGUUAUUGGUACCCUCAACUAUUUAUUUAUCGAAUAGCAAAAUACUAAUUUAAAUUAGAUAAUCAAUUUUUUAAAUCUUUAUGAGUACGAUAUUUGAACUUUACAAUCCUAUAUUAUUUAUAGGAUUGCAUACACUUGCACGUCUACAUUUCGGACGUGAUAUUUGAUCCUCAAAAAUCCUAAUCUCCAUAGCAAGUUGACAAGUGGAAAAUAUAUUUCUUUUAAAAACCUGUGUCACGUGUUAAAAUGAAUUUCAAUAGUACUACAACGAGAAAUACUCUCUUUACUAGGUACUAAUAAGUUACAAUGCCAAUCAAAACAAAAAAAAACAAGAAACAAAGAUUGAAUAAUGCAGUAUUAUCCAUAUUGGUCCAGCAGGAUUGUCUUCAUUCUAAACAUUAACUCAUUAAGUUGCCGUUGGCCAUGAGUGUUUUUUCAUUUUAUUUUUUGAAAAAUUACUUCACUUUAGUAAAAACGAGUGAAAAUCAUAAUGGUUGGCCAUGAAAAUUCGAAAUACAAUUUGGAAUUGUAUUUUGGUACAAAAUUUCAAAAACAACUUUAAUUUAUAUUUAUGGUCAAACACAACUCUAACUCAAAUUUCAAUUUCAACUCUAUUUCCAAUUCCGAAAAAUUAUUAUGUUAUCUUGGCCAAACGGGACCUAAUAAAUGCUCCAUUUUUUUCAUUUUAUUUGGUUGUAGUAUACUAACUGAGGUUCUUCUUUAGAAAUAUUUAUUAAAAUUUUAUUUUAUGUUUUUAAAAUUUAAUUUUAAAUAUUAAUAUUUUAUAGAGUCAUUUAAUGCUAGGAGUAUGAUUAAAAUAAAAACCAUAUAUAUUGAUGAUAAUGUAAGAAAUACUACACUGUAAAUCUAAUUUACGAGGUUGCUUAACUUGUUUUCGUUGGUCAUAAAAAACGCAAUUAUUAUAGAUAAUUACGCUUAAACAUAAAAUGGUUCUUAUCAUAGAUUGAGUUUUCCUUUUUAAAGAAAGUUUUCCUUCGUUCACUUUUAUUCAUCACUUAUUUUUUAAUUGAGCUUUCAUUUUUACUUGUUAUUUUUUAUAUAUAAAGAAAACAUAACUUUUGUUUUUCUAUAUUACCCUUAACAUUUUGUUUUUUUCUCCAAAUUAAUAUGAAGGCACAAUAAUAAACAUCAUUUAAUAGAGAUGUUAUGAUAAACAGAUAAAAUAAUUAUGCCGUUAGUUAUUUUUCUUAAUAAGUGUAUAAGUUAAAAUAUAACAACUAAAAGUAAACGGAGGGAGUAUUAUAAUUGGUGAAAUAUCUGAAGCCUUAUAUGCAUGGGAAAACUUUAUAGUAGUACUAUAAGCUCUCAAAAUAUAUAUAACGAGAUUCUUUUUUUCUUUUUGAAAAAAAAUAUAGCAGUAUUUUCUUUUUAAAUGUAGAAAAUUAAAAUACAUUGUGCAUGUAUAUAAAAUCUAAUCCUAAUUGAGACCACAGAAAUAUAAUCUGAUUGUAGUUGUAUCAUGUAUGUGUAUGCAUGUUUGCACAUGUUUCGAAAACAUUGUGAACGCUUCGUGUGACAUUCGUUUCUUAUCCCAUUCUAUCUAUUUAAGGGCUUUGAAAUUUUAUUUGUAGCUCACUCAAGUCACCAACCAUGGCAACUUCAAGUGAACCUUUACUAAACUCAACUAAAACAAACAACUUUUCCUUCAAAUCUCUCUAUAUUUUUAUAGCCGUAGCUGCUGCUGUUUGCUCCAUUGCAAUACUUUCUAUUGCAUUCUUCAAUGGCAGCAUUGAUUACUCUUUUCUUUCCACCAAAUCCCCCACAGGGUCUGAAGUAACAACACCAUCUUCUGCCAAAACCAACAACGUUGAAAUGUUACAAAUGAUUUUGCAAAAAACGUCGUCCCAAAUCCAAGAAACCACUACGUUGAUUGAAAAUGUUCGUCUUCGGAUUAAUGACAUAAGAGAGGAAUCAGCUCUAAGAAUUUGCUCAGAAUUGAUGGACCUGUCUCGUGACAAAAUCACGGACACCAGGGUGGCACUUGGGAAGUUGAUGACUACUACUUCUUCGAAUUCGAUUUAUUUCGAUGCUCAUACAUGGCUUAGUGCUGUCCUCACAAACCAUAACACUUGUCUGGAUGAACUUCAUGGUCAUGAAGCCCAUUCAAUCUUACAGCCCAGCCUCUCAGACUUGAUGUCAAAAGCAAGUGCUUCAUUGUCCUUAAUGGUUUCAAUAGCACCAAAAACAACGUACCAUGAUGACCUUAGCCAUCCACUACGAGGAGAAUUUCCCGCAUGGGUUAGUCCAAAAGAUAGGGAGAUAUUGGAAGCUAAUCCAGAAUUACUGAAAAUUAAUGCUAACGUGGUGGUGGCGAAAGAUGGUAGCGGCAAAUACAAGACUGUUAAACAAGCUAUUGCAGCGGCACCGGUUAAUAGAAAUAGUCGUUAUGUUAUAUACAUUAAGAAAGGAGAUUACAGGGAGAAUAUUGUGAUAGAUAAGAAUAAGCGGAAUAUAAUGCUACUUGGUGAUGGCGUCAAGAAUACUAUCAUAACUGGCAACUUGAAUUAUGCUUCUGGAACUGGAACCUAUGAUACCCCAACCCUUGGUAAAAUUUUCUCUCCUACAUCCUUUUCACGUUUGGUUCUACUAGUUUAGGUGUUAAAUUCAAACAUUACACUAAAUAUGAUAUUUGUUUAAAUAAUAAAGAUGAAUACAAUAAUUAAAUUUAAUAUCUUUUGGAGAAUUUAAUAAACUAAACCUAACUUUUACCAAAAAAAAUUAUCAAAGUUGAUCAACAUUCAUCUACCUGUAAACUGCAACAAGACAAUACGAUGAUAGAAACAUCAAAACAAUAUAAUUAAAGUGUUUAAGUUUUGUGCACCGUCAGUGUACAAAAUAUUCUACACUGUCAGUUAACUUAACUUACUAUUGCAAGUUACCAAAUUAUUUACAUAAGAAUUAAAAAAGAAAAAAUUAGGUAACGUGCAAUAACAAGUCAAGUUUACCUGAUAGUAUAGAAUAUUUUAUACACUGUCGGUGCACAAAACUUAAAUUCAUAAUUAAAUCUAACCUUUACAGAAAAAUUUUCUCAAAGUUAUUUGACACUCAUCUACCACAUGUAAAUUAUAACAAAAUAAUACAAUAAUAGAGUUAUCAAAAUAAUACAACUAAACUUAACAUUAACACAAAAAAAAUUCUCAGAACAGAGACACAAAAACAAUAUAACUAAAACUAAUCUUUACCUAAAAAAUUCCUCAAAGUUGUACGACAUUCAUCUACUAUUUGUAAAUUCGUCUACGACCUAUGUAAACUACAACAAAAUAACACAAUAGUGGUCAUAAAACUUCAGUUUUGAUAAAAAUAACUUUUGUCUAAGCGAAAAUUUUGACCCUAAAGAAUGACUUGGAUGAAAACAAAGAAGAUAUAUAUAUACAUACACGUUGAAGUCUAUUAUAUUGUCAAAACAAUGAAGAAGUUGAGAGUUAGAAAAUUAAGCAUCUAUCAAUCUAGACAUGCAACCGAAUCAAGUUAGAUUAGUAUCAAUCAUAUUUUUUCAAUAAGUAAAUCGAUUUCUUCUCUAGUUUAACGUGCAUGUCAAUAUCUAUAGAAGUAUUUUCCUUAAUAGAGUCCUAUUUUAGGAGUAUUUUUCUAUCCUAUUUUAGAAGUAUUUUUCUAAUUGAUCAGUACAAAGGAAAAUAUUAAUUGAUUUUCCUUCCAUAUAUUUUAGGGGUCUCAUAUAUUUUAGGAGUUAAUAUAAUAUAAAUAAUUAAAUAAUAAAUUGAAGGAAAUAAUGAAAAGACAGUUUUAUCUAAACGAAGGUCUUUUAAUGAAGAUCAAAAAGUUCAAAUCACUUUUCUAAUGGUAUUCACACUUUUAAUAUAUUAUUAUAGAUUAUAGAUUAUAAAUAUAGGUAGUUUAAUUUUCAGCAUUAACAGUGUAAAGAAUUUCUACUCUAGAUAUAGCUAACCAUUCAUUGACAUGGAAAAUUAAUCAGACUUGUUAAAAAGAAGUGGUGCAGAUACGUAAACUGACAAUAAUAAACAAAUAUAGUACUACUUCUUAGCUGACAUGGGAUAAUGUAAAAUUUGUAUAUCGAAAGUAAAGUCAAUAUGAUGUUAGUAUAAUUCUAUAGUAGGUAUGCGAGUACUCUAGGUAUAACAUUUACAAGUUGUUGGUUGGAUUUGUGUAAUGCAGCAAGUAACGCAGACGGAUUUAUAGCACAAAAUAUGCGUAUCCGAAACACAGCAGGACCAAAGGGGCACCAAGCCGUGGCACUUCGUGUCACUGGGGACAAAUCUGUCAUCAACAAGUGCAAAAUAGAUGCCUAUCAAGACACACUCUACGCCCACAACCAACGUCAGUUCUACAAGGACUGCUACAUUACUGGAACUGUCGAUUUCAUCUUUGGUCAGUAAUAUUAAAAUGUUCGGUCGACCAAGUUGAAGUAACAUAGUUUUUAUUUAUUAUGAAGGAUGAUUUUUCUUCUUCUUUUUUUCAGGUAAUGCAGCAGUGGUGCUUCAAAAGUGCAACAUAGUGGCUAGGAAGCCAUCGAGCGGACAACAAAACAUGGUAACAGCGCAAGGCAAGACGGAUAAGAACCAAAACACCGGAACUUCAAUACAAAGUUGUAAAAUAACCCCAAGCUCAGACUUAAAACCUGUUAUCAAAAGUUUUAAGACAUUCUUGGGACGUCCAUGGAAGAAAUUCUCAACAACGGUUUACAUGGAGUCUUACAUUGAUAACCAUAUAGAUCCAGCAGGGUGGGCCCCUUGGGAUGGUUCAUUGUACUUGGAUACAUUGU